GGAGAUGAUACAUCUUUCUGAUAAUUAGUCUUUUAUCUACUAACCCAAAUGCCCUUUCUCAGUACUGAUAACAUCCUUGGAAACCAAAUUAAAGAGAAUAAACAUGGUUCUGGAAAACAGAACAAGUAUAAACUGUGGAAGUCCUGAUGAGCCAGUCUUCUGGUGUACACUCUUUUUAGGGACUACAUUGUUUCAGCCCUAGAUCAUACCAUUCUGUGGACAACUGUAUAGAAGACACUAAUUAUAACUUUCCAACUCUGUCUUUUCAAUGUUGUCAGGCAAGGUUUCUCUUAUUAU
Molecule: long non-coding RNA, 297 nt
Filed under: Bos taurus (domestic cattle)
Lineage: Eukaryota; Metazoa; Chordata; Mammalia; Artiodactyla; Bovidae
Description: long non-coding RNA NONBTAT000608
Source: RNAcentral